RNAcentral lists this transfer RNA (61 nucleotides) under Typhlocybinae gen. 1 sp. 1 BY-2021a. RNAcentral's name for it is "tRNA-Arg". Lineage: Eukaryota; Metazoa; Arthropoda; Insecta; Hemiptera; Cicadellidae. The record is from RNAcentral.
ACAUAGAAGUAAAAAUUACAAUUAGUUUCGACCUAAACAAAGGAAUAUAAUUUCCCAUGUU